Aspergillus aculeatus ATCC 16872 is the source of this 99-nucleotide transfer RNA. It matches the Rfam family "tRNA". Rfam says of the family: Transfer RNA (tRNA) molecules are approximately 80 nucleotides in length. Their secondary structure includes four short double-helical elements and three loops (D, anti-codon, and T loops). Further hydrogen bonds mediate the characteristic L-shaped molecular structure. tRNAs have two regions of fundamental functional importance: the anti-codon, which is responsible for specific mRNA codon recognition, and the 3' end, to which the tRNAs corresponding amino acid is attached (by aminoacyl-tRNA synthetases). tRNAs cope with the degeneracy of the genetic code in two manners: having more than one tRNA (with a specific anti-codon) for a particular amino acid; and 'wobble' base-pairing, i.e. permitting non-standard base-pairing at the 3rd anti-codon position. NCBI's taxonomy places the organism in Eukaryota, Fungi, Ascomycota, Eurotiomycetes, Eurotiales, Aspergillaceae. The record is from Rfam.
GGGACGAUGGCGCAUCUGGGAGCGCGUCAGACUGAAGCACUAACUUCGGCCAGUACAUCUGCAAUCUGAAGGUGGCCGGUUCAAGCCCGGCUCGUCCCA